GGAGCGGCGAUCGUCCUAUCAGGUUGUUGGUGGGGUAAAGGCCUACCAAGCCGAAGACGGGUAGCGGGUGUGAGAGCAUGGCCCGCCGCAUCGGAACUGAGACACUGUCCGGACUCCUACGGGAGGCUGCAGUAACGAAUCUUCCGCAAUGCGCGAAAGCGUGACGGAGCAAUGCCGCGUGUGGGAUGAAGCGGUUACGCCGUGUAAACCACUGUCAGGACUUAGGAAGAACUGACCGAGUCCAAAGGAAGGGCCGGCUAAUCUCGUGCCAGCAGCCGCGGUAAUACGAGAGGCCCGAGCGUUAGGCGGAAUCACUGGGC
Molecule: ribosomal RNA, 320 nt
Filed under: Alexandrium margalefii
Lineage: Eukaryota; Dinophyceae; Gonyaulacales; Pyrocystaceae
Description: partial Bacterial small subunit ribosomal RNA
Rfam family: Bacterial small subunit ribosomal RNA
Source: RNAcentral